GACGAACGCUGGCGGCGUGCUUAACACAUGCAAGUCGAACGGAAAGGCCCUGCUUUUGUGGGGUGCUCGAGUGGCGAACGGGUGAGUAACACGUGAGUAACCUGCCCUUGACUUUGGGAUAACUUCAGGAAACUGGGGCUAAUACCGGAUAGGAGCUCCUGCUGCAUGGUGGGGGUUGGAAAGUUUCGGCGGUUGGGGAUGGACUCGCGGCUUAUCAGCUUGUUGGUGGGGUAGUGGCUUACCAAGGCUUGGACGGGUAGCCGGCCUGAGAGGGUGACCGGCCACAUUGGGACUGAGGUACGGCCCAGACUCCUACGGGAGGCAGCAGUGGGGAAUAUUGCACAAUGGGCGGAAGCCUGAUGCAGCAACGCCGCGUGCGGGAUGACGGCCUUCGGGUUGUAAACCGCUUUCGCCUGUGACGAAGCGUGAGUGACGGUAAUGGGUAAAGAAGCACCGGCUAACUACGUG
RNAcentral lists this ribosomal RNA (468 nucleotides) under uncultured bacterium. Its description in RNAcentral is "partial 16S ribosomal RNA". It matches the Rfam family "Bacterial small subunit ribosomal RNA", at positions 28 to 507 of the family's 1533-position model. The record is from RNAcentral.